CAUGUAGGCGGCUUUUUAAGUCGAUUGUGAAAUCCCUUGGCUUAACCAAGGAACUGCAACCGAUACUGAGAGGCUUGAGUGCGGAAGAGGAAAGCGGAAUUCCCGGUGUAAGAGUGAAAUCUGUAGAGAUCGGGAGGAACACCAGUGGCGAAGGCGGCUUUCUGGUCCGCAACUCACGCUGAAAUGCGAAAGCUAGGGGAGCAAACAGGAUUAGAUACCCUGGUAGUCC
This 229-nucleotide ribosomal RNA is filed under the name uncultured bacterium. Its description in RNAcentral is "partial 16S ribosomal RNA". It matches the Rfam family "Bacterial small subunit ribosomal RNA", at positions 568 to 796 of the family's 1533-position model. The record is from RNAcentral.